GAGGUAUUAGUAAAAAUUUACACGACUUUGUCAAAGUCGAGUUAUAGGUUAAAGCCCUUUAUACUUCC
Molecule: non-coding RNA, 68 nt
Organism: Callorhinus ursinus (northern fur seal)
Lineage: Eukaryota; Metazoa; Chordata; Mammalia; Carnivora; Otariidae
Source: the annotation of a RefSeq genome assembly